GACGAACGCUGGAGGCGUGCUUAACACAUGCAAGUCGAACGGUAAGGCCCUUCGGGGUACACGAGUGGCGAACGGGUGAGUAACACGUGGGUGAUCUGCCCUGCACUUCGGGAUAAGCCUGGGAAACUGGGUCUAAUACCGGAUAGGACCACUGCCUGCAUGGGCGGUGGUGGAAAGCUUUUGCGGUGUGGGAUGGGCCCGCGGCCUAUCAGCUUGUUGGUGGGGUGAUGGCCUGCCAAGGCGACGACGGGUAGCCGGCCUGCGAGGGUGACCGGCCACACUGGGACUGAGAUACGGGCCAGACUCCUACGGGGGGCAGCGGUGGGGAAUAUUGCACAAUGGGCGCAAGGCUGAUGCAGCGACGCCGCGUGAGGGAUGACGGCCUUCGGGUUGUAAACCUCUUUCAGCACCGACGAAGCGCAAGUGACGGUAGGUGCAGAAGAAGGACCGGCCAACUACGUGCCAGCCGCCGCCGUAA
This 478-nucleotide ribosomal RNA is filed under the name uncultured bacterium. RNAcentral's name for it is "partial 16S ribosomal RNA". It matches the Rfam family "Bacterial small subunit ribosomal RNA", at positions 28 to 523 of the family's 1533-position model. The record is from RNAcentral.